RNAcentral lists this transfer RNA (88 nucleotides) under Janthinobacterium lividum. Its description in RNAcentral is "tRNA-Ser". Lineage: Bacteria; Pseudomonadati; Pseudomonadota; Betaproteobacteria; Burkholderiales; Oxalobacteraceae. The record is from RNAcentral.
GUGGUCGAGGGCGGCCUGGAUCGCGUCGCCGCUGGAAGCGGCAAUCGCGGCGUAUUCAAAGCGUUCGGUUUGCGUGCGAACGAUCACG